CUGAGCGAUCAGAGUCAUCGGGAUGGUUAGCUGGAGGACAUAUGAUGGUGUAGUGAGGAGAUUGAGGGAGGUCUGAUAUAUACCUGAUUUUAAACGAAAUCUUAUCUCACUGAGCAGACUGAAUUCGAGAGGCUAUAGGACGGUAGCUGGUGAAGAAAUUCUGAAGAUGUUGCAUGGCGAUAGGAUUAUUCUGGAGAGAAAAAAGAGGAUGAGAGAAUAUUACUACCUGACAUGGAGUCCAAUGUGAGGUGGAGCUUCAUGAGCCAGGAGGAGCCCAG
Molecule: long non-coding RNA, 278 nt
Filed under: Elaeis guineensis (African oil palm)
Lineage: Eukaryota; Viridiplantae; Streptophyta; Magnoliopsida; Arecales; Arecaceae
Description: long non-coding RNA (EGUI_LNC014222)
Source: RNAcentral